This is a long non-coding RNA of Triticum dicoccoides, 394 nucleotides long. RefSeq lists it as uncharacterized. The transcript has 4 exons. The record is from RefSeq and is a predicted model, not a curated record. NCBI's taxonomy places the organism in Eukaryota, Viridiplantae, Streptophyta, Magnoliopsida, Poales, Poaceae.
UUGGCGUUAUCACCGGUGUUUCUGAUGCCAUGAAGUUUCACAGUUCAAGCAGGAGUGAGCCGUCGAUUAAACGUUGUAUCACCAUCAAGGACCUGAGUGGGUACCAAAUAAGUGUUGCUCCAUGGGGCAAACGGGAGACAACCUUUGACGGAGAUGGUGUCAUUGAACUGGGGAAGACUGAAACGCUAUGCAAUAUGGCGUGGCUUUGCUUGCGGCCAAUAGGUCGAAGGGGUGUCAGUGGAAACGCGACGUGCCGUUGGUACAUCAACGAUGACAUCUCUGAGAUGAUAGACUUAUAGACAAGGCUUUAGGACAAACAUAUUCCUGUUCAGAAAAUUCUGCUACAGGGGCAGAAUGCGGCUGAAAUAAGUGCACAUGUUGAUUUGGAUACUAA